Molecule: non-coding RNA, 48 nt
Organism: Schistosoma mansoni
Lineage: Eukaryota; Metazoa; Platyhelminthes; Trematoda; Strigeidida; Schistosomatidae
Source: Rfam
AUUCGGCUGUCGAAUCCCAAAUAGGACGAAACGAGCGUCAAAUUGGAU